This is a non-coding RNA of Aegilops tauschii subsp. strangulata, 833 nucleotides long. The record is from RefSeq and is a predicted model, not a curated record. NCBI's taxonomy places the organism in Eukaryota, Viridiplantae, Streptophyta, Magnoliopsida, Poales, Poaceae.
UUCCCUGCCGCUGCCCGGCCUCCUCCUUCCACCCCUCCGGCCAGCUCCUCUCCCGCUCGCGCCGCCUCCUCCUCCCAACCAGUGCCUCCCUCUCCUCCUUCCCCGCCUUCGCCUGGCCUCCUCCUUCCGCCCCUCGAUCUGGCGCCGCCCAAACCCUAACACCCCGCCCCGGCCCUGGGUCAUCCACCGCCUCCACCGCCGGCAGGAAGGCGCCGCAGCGGCCGUCGCGCAGCCCGACGAGCAGGAGCUCCCCGGCGAGCAGCCGUUCCCGUACUAGAAGAGGGUGCAGGGCAAUCCCGCGCCUCCAGCCCCUGCUUCACGUACGACCGCUGGUGUGGGAGCAGCCUUCGGUGGUGAGGAGGCCCAGAGCAACACGGCCAACGUUGGCGCUGGUGCUCCCCAGUGCAACCACUCCGACGACGGCCAGGAUGUUGCUGUCUCCCAUCCGAUUGAUUUCUCUCCAUUAGAUUGGCCCUGGCUAGAUAGGGAAAGGGGGCCGACGGCGGCGCGAGGAGAGAUCCAAGUGUACAAUUUCUUGCUAAAUUAGAGGAAUAUGAAGCAGAAAAUAUAAUGUUGGUCCAUAGAACCCUACUUUUUCAUUCGUUCACUGGUAAGUCUACUUCCCUCUAUGUAUGGUAACACACAUUAUAUCAUUUCAUUGGGUCAUACUUAAUACAUGACACCAUGAAGCAUUUAUAUGAAACAGAUCAAUUUGUGUGUUCACCAUCGUCUGCAAUUUUCACAGUUUACAGUUGCUUGAUCAUUGAUUUUUUCCUUUGGACAAACAAGUUCUCCCUCAUUUUAGCAAUUAUUUAUCAAAAUGGCGUGUGUUU